This is a long non-coding RNA of Centropristis striata (black sea bass), 653 nucleotides long. RefSeq lists it as uncharacterized. NCBI's taxonomy places the organism in Eukaryota, Metazoa, Chordata, Actinopteri, Perciformes, Serranidae. The record is from RefSeq and is a predicted model, not a curated record. The transcript has 3 exons.
UUUUUUAUUUCACCAUUGAUUCUCUACUGUAGUUGGUUUCUGUGGCGCCCCUGAGAGGACACAUUCUGGAGGAAAACAGAGAAGCCUCGUGUCUUCACUACUCCGCUCUCCACCUGCUUUUACAGUGUGGAGACCGGUCCAGGGUGUAACCCUCCUCUGGCCCAGUGUCAGCUGGGAUCGGCUCCAGUCCUCCGUGACCAGAGUUCAGAUCAACUUCUGACUGCUGACUCCUCCCAAAGGUCAACUUCACUGUGACAUGUCAGUAGGACACCACCACCAUCAUCUAUUUUACAACAAACUGUAAAUACAUCCUGGCUUAAACACAGUUUCAAAAUCAAACAGGCUGACUUUUGUUCCAGUUUAAUCCAAAAUUAAAUCCACCAACGCAUUAAUGUUGCCAAACUGUCAGAUUUAGAAUAGAAGCUUUGCGUGCAAAGUGCAUGAUUCCACCUCCCAUUUCUUUUUUGGUGUGCUGGUAAACAUGAAAAGAAAGAUUUCAUGGAUUUAAUGGAAUGUUUGUACAGCCGCUAACACAAUCAAAUGACGUUUAGUGUUGACGUUUGCAGGCGUCAUCUUUUUGUUUCUUCAUUUUUAGAAACUACAUAACUGUCUAGGCUGUGGUAUAAAUGUGUCUCAUUCAUCAUUCUGAUUUA